CAGCAGCAGCAGUGGCAAGCACUGAGAUUGAGCAGGAUGGAGUGGCCUGGCCAAGCCGUGGCCCCACUGGCAGGAGCUGCAGAGUGGACAGCAGAGGGAACACAGCUUGGUGGUGAAGGUGCUGUUCUCCUGAAAGAGGAUCCUGGCAAAAACAUGGCUUGGUGCCGGGGACGGCACGCCGAAGGCAAGAAAUACACCAGAACUGGUUCAGCUUGGGGAACACAAGUUGAAGGAGCCGUGGCACAGGGCGCUCACAAGUGUGAGGUGUAGAUGCUUUCAGGGAAGAUGAGGGUGGAACCCUUCGGCUGUGCAUGACAGCGGCAGACACUUGAAUGGAGGCUCCUCGUGUUUGCAGCCUGGUCACACGAGUGACUGAGACCCGAAAUCUCCCUGACAUCCUCUCUGGAUGCUUGGCCUUGGAACAGCCUCAUUCAUGCCACACCUGCUCCCUUCCGUUUGUGGAGCCUUCUAUGCUGCACUGGACACUGGAAAAGCACUUGGAGAUGGCUGGAGAAGGAAGGGGACAUCCUGUAAAAUGGUCUCUAAACCAGGCCCUUCCCUGUGCCAUGGCUUUUCUGGGGCUCAUUAAUAUCAGUGGUUCCUGCUGGAAGAACUCUGUCACCUUCCCUGAGGCAGCAGAGCUGAGGCCAGACGUGGUGUGCGCUGCUUGUGCAUCAGACAUGAGUAAUAACAAGUUUGGAGGAACUGUAUACCACUUAAUAAAAGCAUUUUAUUACAUUUAAAUGUAUUAAAAUGUGAACAUUAAAUUCAACGCGCUAAUUACCGCUCCCAGGCAUUGCCGCUGACAGGAAAUGGAUCCUCACAAUUGCUCUGCUGAGAUCACUCACUGCUGUUACUGCUCUUUGGUUCCUGGUGUGUUAUUAGUGCUCUGCAUUUGGGACUUGAGUCAUUAACAAAAAGGACUGGUGUUGGGCAUUAUGUAAAUUCUGUAUGUUUUCACACAGCUACCGGGGCCUGUGUUAUGUGUCUCAUUGACAAAAAAAAAAGCAAAUGCAUUUGGCUCUGCCCUGGCUUGUGGGCGAGGGAUCUCAGGGGUCACCCAGACACAGAGAGGGAAAACCUCUUCAUAACACAUCUCUGUGUUUCUGCAAAUCCCUUUCCAGGGCAAUUUGUGUCCCCCCUACCCCACUUGCUGCAUGUGCCAUGACACCCUGCAACGAACACCAACAAUUCCUGCUCUGAAGGAGUUUCCCACUUUUCUGGGAGCCAGGGGCUUCCCAUUCCUGCAGCAGGCAUGCACAGCACAUGGAUCCAUUGCCCUGGAAAACUGGGAAAGCCUGCCAGGGGUCUCUGGUAGGUGAGAGGCCUGUGGCCAAGUGCUCAGCUCCGUGAGGCCAAGCCCACAUGUUCUGGGAUAUGGUUACUUCCCAGAGGAAAGGGGGAUGCUAGAGGACACGUGGCUGCCUCCCUAAAUGAAAAAGAGUGUAAAGCUGUUCAGAUUAGUGCACAUCAAUCCCUGCACUGGAAUCAAGAGAUGCUUUGGUUUGGCAGCACUGGGGACAAAGCCACCAUUUCGUUCAAAGUGUACUUAAUGCGACAGAAGGAGGCAGCUUCCUUUGACAGUUUUACAGCUCUUAUCAGAUUAUAUCAAAAUUAAAUUAAAACAAUCUAAAAGAAGUGUGAAGUACUGCAGGGAGAACACAAAUAAAACACUCCUCUUUGUAGGCUUUCA
Molecule: long non-coding RNA, 1693 nt
Organism: Zonotrichia albicollis (white-throated sparrow)
Lineage: Eukaryota; Metazoa; Chordata; Aves; Passeriformes; Passerellidae
Source: Ensembl